Nannospalax galili (Upper Galilee mountains blind mole rat) is the source of this 102-nucleotide small nuclear RNA. NCBI's taxonomy places the organism in Eukaryota, Metazoa, Chordata, Mammalia, Rodentia, Spalacidae. The record is from Ensembl.
UUUCUUCAGCAGAAGAUACACUAAAUUGGAAUGAUACAGAGAAGAUUAGCAUGGUUCUUAUAUGAGGAUGACACACAAAUUCCUGAAGUCUUUCAUGUUUUA